RNAcentral lists this ribosomal RNA (167 nucleotides) under Olea europaea subsp. europaea. Its description in RNAcentral is "Bacterial small subunit ribosomal RNA". It matches the Rfam family "Bacterial small subunit ribosomal RNA", at positions 578 to 744 of the family's 1533-position model. The record is from Rfam by way of RNAcentral. Lineage: Eukaryota; Viridiplantae; Streptophyta; Magnoliopsida; Lamiales; Oleaceae.
GGAUGGUAAGUCCACCGUCAAAUCCCAGGGCUCAACCUUGAACAGGCGGUGGAAACUACUAAGUUGGAGCACGGUAGGGGCAGAGCGAAUUUUCGGUGGAGUGGUGAAAUGCGUAGAGAUCGAAAAGAACACCAACGACGAAAGCACUUUGCUGGGCUGACACUGAC